Carassius auratus (goldfish) is the source of this 848-nucleotide long non-coding RNA. RefSeq lists it as uncharacterized. NCBI's taxonomy places the organism in Eukaryota, Metazoa, Chordata, Actinopteri, Cypriniformes, Cyprinidae. The record is from RefSeq and is a predicted model, not a curated record. The transcript has 3 exons.
AUAAAGGAAUAUACAACGGCCUCAGAGCUGAGGCUCGACAGGAGAAAGAUGAAGGAGCGCUGGACCGUCUCAUCCGCUCCGUUGUCAUGGAGAUGGGAUUGCGUCAUAAUGCAGCACGGCUGGAAGCAGGCUGACAGGAACGCGCACUAGUCUCGGCGAGACAGUCGUCCGAAGAGGGUGUGAUAACGAGCCGUUGAGAUUUUACCUUUUCCAACCUCAUUUUCGUCGCUUUGAAGUCGCUGGACAUCUGAGGUCAGCAUGCGCGAGAUCGUGCACCUGCAGGCGGGCCAGUGCGGGAAUCAAAUCGGAGCGAAGGAAAUUGCUGGCUUUAGAGGAGAAGAUGCCUGCCUACAAAUGCUCCAAUUGCCGUAGACUCAAAACAAGAGCCUGUGGGAUCACCUUUCACCUCCUGGUGACAGAUGCUGCAUCAAGGACCAGAACUUCCACCUGCUGACUUUAAACACAUUGGAGGUCUGGUGAUGACAUCAGAAGACACAGUGAGGGUCGUCAGGGCAGCAGAGUGUGUCAUUCAUCAGCCAGUACUAGACGAUCACAGCCCAUCAAACUGCUAGAGGUCAUGUUCAUUGUACGAAAUAGGGUCAGAGGAUGUGUUUGUACUCGGGGAGCACAACGGCAAAAUGGAGUAUGGCAUAGACAGCCACCACCAUUCGCUGUUAACAUUAGUUGUGUUCCUGUUUGACAAACCUUACCUUACAAAGUAACAACAUGUGACAGAAGCUUAAUAAAACCGUCUUUUUCAAAGGGCAUUAGCGAAAGCUAUGUUUUUUGGGUCAUUUUUUAUCUCUGUCCUCCACAGUAGUGUUCUCUCUACAGGAUUGGGAUUUCAA